CCUACGGGUGGCAGCAGUGGGGAAUAUUGCACAAUGGGCGCAAGCCUGAUGCAGCCAUGCCGCGUGUGUGAAGAAGGCCUUCGGGUUGUAAAGCACUUUCAGCGGGGAGGAAGGCGGUGAGGUUAAUAACCUCAUCGAUUGACGUUACCCGCAGAAGAAGCACCGGCUAACUCCGUGCCAGCAGCCGCGGUAAUACGGAGGGUGCAGGCGCUAAUCGGAAUUACUGGGCGUAAAGCGCACGCAGGCGGUCUGUCAAGUCGGAUGUGAAAUCCCCGGGCUCAACCUGGGAACUGCAUUCGAAACUGGCAGGCUAGAGUCUUGUAGAGGGGGGUAGAAUUCCAGGUGUAGCGGUGAAAUGCGUAGAGAUCUGGAGGAAUACCGGUGGCGAAGGCGGCCCCCUGGACAAAGACUGACGCUCAGGUGCGAAAGCGUGGGGAGCAAACAGGAUUAGAUACCCUGGUAGUC
Molecule: ribosomal RNA, 465 nt
Filed under: uncultured Klebsiella sp.
Lineage: Bacteria; Pseudomonadati; Pseudomonadota; Gammaproteobacteria; Enterobacterales; Enterobacteriaceae
Description: bacterial SSU rRNA
Rfam family: Bacterial small subunit ribosomal RNA
Source: RNAcentral